AUUGAACGCUGGCGGCAGGCCUAACACAUGCAAGUCGAACGGUAACAGGAAUCAGCUUGCUGAUUCGCUGACGAGUGGCGGACGGGUGAGUAAUGUCUGGGAAACUGCCUGAUGGAGGGGGAUAACUACUGGAAACGGUAGCUAAUACCGCAUAACGUCGCAAGACCAAAGAGGGGGACCUUCGGGCCUCGUGCCAUCGGAUGUUCCCAGAUGGGAUUAGCUAGUAGGUGGGGUAACGGCUCACCUAGGCGACGAUCCCUAGCUGGUCUGAGAGGAUGCGCAGCCACACUGGAACGGGGACACGGUCCAGACUCCUACGGGAGGCAGCAGUGGGGAAUAUUGCACAAUGGGCGCAAGCCUGAUGCAGCCAUGCCGCGUGUAUGAAGAAGGCCUUCGGGUUGUAAAGUACUUUCAGCGGGGAGGAAAUCGCACGGGCUAAUACCCUGUGUGGAUGACGGUACCGGAAUAAGAAGCACCGGCUAACUACGUGCCAGCCGCCGCGGUAA
RNAcentral lists this ribosomal RNA (506 nucleotides) under uncultured bacterium. Its description in RNAcentral is "partial 16S ribosomal RNA". It matches the Rfam family "Bacterial small subunit ribosomal RNA", at positions 30 to 523 of the family's 1533-position model. The record is from RNAcentral.